UUAUACAGCGAAACUGCGAAUGGCUCAUUAUAUAAGUUAUCGUUUAUUUGAUAGUACCUUACUACUUGGAUAACCGUGGUAAUUCUAGAGCUAAUACAUGCUAAAAAUCCCGACUUACGAAGGGAUGUAUUUAUUAGAUUAAAAACCAAUGCCCUUCGGGGCUCACUGGUGAUUCAUAAUAACUUCUCGAAUCGCAUGGCCUUGCGCCGGCGAUGGUUCAUUCAAAUUUCUUCCCUAUCAACUUUCGAUGCUAGAGUAGUGUUCUAGCAUGGUUACAACGGGUAACGGAGGGUUAGGGCUCGACCCCGGAGAAGGAGCCUGAGAAACGGCUACUACAUCCAAGGAAGGCAGCAGGCGCGCAAAUUACCCAAUCCCGACACGGGGAGGUAGUGACGAUAAAUACUGAUACAGGGCUCUUUUGGGUCUUGUAAUUGGAAUGAGUACAAUUUAAAUCCCUUAACGAGGAACAAUUGGAGGGCAAGUCUGGUGCCAGCAGCCGCGGUAAUUCCAGCUCCAAUAGCGUAUAUUAAAGUUGUUGUGGUUAAAAAGCUCGUAGUAGAACCUUGGGCCUGGCUGGCCGGUCCGCCUCACCGCGUGCACUGGUCCGGCCGGGCCUUUCCCCCUGUGGAACCUCAUGCCCUUCACUGGGUGUGUGGGAAAACAGGACUUUUACUUUGAAAAAAUUAGAGUGCUCCAGGCAGGCCUAUGCUCGAAUACAUUAGCAUGGAAUAAUAGAAUAGGACGUGUGGUUCUAUUUUGUUGGUUUCUAGGACCGCCGUAAUGAUUAAUAGGGACAGUCGGGGGCAUCAGUAUUCAAUUGUCAGAGGUGAAAUUCUUGGAUUUAUUGAAGACUAACUACUGCGAAAGCAUUUGCCAAGGAUGUUUUCAUUUAUCAGGAACGAAAGUUAGGGGAUCGAAGACGAUCAGAUACCGUCGUAGUCUUAACCAUAAACUAUGCCGACUAGGGAUCGGACGAUGUUAUUUUUUGACUCGUUCGGCACCUUACGAGAAAUCAA
This 1016-nucleotide ribosomal RNA is filed under the name Colletotrichum sp. RNAcentral's name for it is "SSU rRNA". It matches the Rfam family "Eukaryotic small subunit ribosomal RNA", at positions 74 to 1101 of the family's 1831-position model. Lineage: Eukaryota; Fungi; Ascomycota; Sordariomycetes; Glomerellales; Glomerellaceae. The record is from RNAcentral.